AACGCACAUUGCGCCCGCCAGUAUUCUGGCGGGCAUGCCUGUUCGAGCGUCAUUUCAACCCUCAGGCCCCCAGUGCCUGGCGUUGGGGAUCGGCACAACCGCCCUCCGGGGCGGCGCCGGCCCCGAAAUCUAGUGGCGGUCUCGCUGUAGUCCUCCUCUGCGUAGUAGCACAACCUCGCACUGGAACGCGGCGGCGACCAUGCCGUGAAACACCCCACUUCUGAAAGUUGACCUCGGAUCAGGUAGGAAUACCCGCUGAACUUAA
Molecule: unclassified non-coding RNA, 265 nt
Filed under: uncultured Myrothecium
Lineage: Eukaryota; Fungi; Ascomycota; Sordariomycetes; Hypocreales
Description: sequence contains ITS2
Rfam family: 5.8S ribosomal RNA (bases 1-52)
Source: RNAcentral